This 257-nucleotide ribosomal RNA is filed under the name uncultured bacterium. RNAcentral's name for it is "partial 16S ribosomal RNA". It matches the Rfam family "Bacterial small subunit ribosomal RNA", at positions 524 to 776 of the family's 1533-position model. The record is from RNAcentral.
UACGAUUGGGGCAAGUGUUAUUCAUCGUGAUUGGGCGUAAAGGGUGCGUAGACGGUUAAGUAAACCUUUAGUAAAAUCCCAUAUUCAAACUAUGGUAAACUAUAAGCUGAUUACUUUUCUUGAGUUGGUUUGUGAAAGUGGAACUUUCAGAGCAAAGGUUAAAAUCUGUUAAGAUUCUGAGGGGGCCACCAAAGCGAAGGCAACUUUCUAAACUCAAUAACUGACGUUGAGGCACGAAGGUAUGGGGAGCAAACAGG